RNAcentral lists this ribosomal RNA (253 nucleotides) under uncultured bacterium. Its description in RNAcentral is "partial 16S ribosomal RNA". It matches the Rfam family "Bacterial small subunit ribosomal RNA", at positions 524 to 776 of the family's 1533-position model. The record is from RNAcentral.
UACGGGGGGGGCAGGCGUUGUUCGGAAUUACUGGGCGUAAAGGGCUCGUAGGCGGCCAACUAAGUCAGACGUGAAAUCCCUCGGCUUAACCGGGGAACUGCGUCUGAUACUGGAUGGCUUGAGUUUGGGAGAGGGAUGCGGAAUUCCAGGUGUAGCGGUGAAAUGCGUAGAUAUCUGGAGGAACACCGGUGGCGAAGGCGGCAUCCUGGACCAACACUGACACUGAGGAGCGAAAGCCAGGGAAGCAAACGGG